AUUGAACGCUGGCGGCAUGCUUUACACAUGCAAGUCGAACGGUAACAGGCCGCAAGGUGCUGACGAGUGGCGAACGGGUGAGUAAUGCAUCGGAACGUGCCCAGUCGUGGGGGAUAACUACUCGAAAGAGUAGCUAAUACCGCAUACGACCUAUGGCUGAAAACGGGGGACCGUAAGGCCUCGCGCGAUUGGAGCGGCCGAUGUGAGAUUAGGUAGUUGGUGGGGUAAAGGCUCACCAAGCCAACGAUCUGUAGCUGGUCUGAGAGGACGAGCAGCCACACUGGGACUGAGACACGGCCCAGACUCCUACGGGAGGCAGCAGUGGGGAAUUUUGGACAAUGGGCGCAAGCCUGAUCCAGCAAUGCCGCGUGCAUGAAGAAGGCCUUCGGGUUGUAAACUGCUUUUGUACGGAACGAAACGGCUCUGGUUAAUACCCGGGGCUAAUGACGGUACCGUAAGAAUAAGCACCGGCUAACUACGUG
This 482-nucleotide ribosomal RNA is filed under the name uncultured bacterium. RNAcentral describes it as "partial 16S ribosomal RNA". It matches the Rfam family "Bacterial small subunit ribosomal RNA", at positions 30 to 507 of the family's 1533-position model. The record is from RNAcentral.